UGGGGAAUAUUGGACAAUGGGCGCAAGCCUGAUCCAGCCAUGCCGCGUGAGUGAUGAAGGCCCUAGGGUUGUAAAGCUCUUUCACCGGUUAAGAUAAUGACGGUAACCGGAGAAGAAGCCCCGGCUAACUUCGUGCCAGCAGCCGCGGUAAUACGAAGGGGGCUAGCGUUGUUCGGAUUUACUGGGCGUAAAGCGCACGUAGGCGGACUUUUAAGUCAGGGGUGAAAUCCCGGGGCUCAACCCCGGAACUGCCUUUGAUACUGGAAGUCUUGAGUAUGGUAGAGAUGAGUGGAAUUCCGAGUGUAGAGGUGAAAUUCGUAGAUAUUCGGAGGAACACCAGUGGCGAAGGCGGCUCACUGGACCAUUACUGACGCUGAGGUGCGAAAGCGUGGGGAGCAAACAGG
Molecule: ribosomal RNA, 404 nt
Filed under: Actinomycetes bacterium
Lineage: Bacteria; Bacillati; Actinomycetota; Actinomycetes
Description: Actinobacteria bacterium partial 16S ribosomal RNA
Rfam family: Bacterial small subunit ribosomal RNA
Source: RNAcentral